CUCACAGAAACCCUAUGUGUUGAAACCCUAUGUCUUAUUAUCCCCAUUUUACAGAUGGGGAGACCGAGGCACAGGGAAGGAAGGGAAGUAAAGUAGUGAAGAAUGGCUGUAUGCGGUGGAUAGGAGUUAGUUGCCUGCAUGUGUUGUAACAGAAGUUCACAAAGAAACAGCUUUUCUCCAGACAUUCUAGAACCAUAUAAAGAGCUGAAAAACUCCAAAAGCCUCACUGUGAAGUUAAAAAGCAGAGGAGAGCUUUGGAAAUGGGAAUGGGAAUGGAGGAAAGGUACGGGGAAGGUUCAGGAAGACAGAACAACACCAGUUGGUCAGACCUGGCUCAGCUGAAAAUGCUUUCGUGCCACUGUGGGAUCCCUCUCCUAGAUUAUUUGCAGAUGUGCAUGCUAAUGACAGAAGUCAUGUGAUGGAAUGACACUGUACAAGUGAGUCCGCGGGAUGACACCGAGUAACGCUCAGAGGAAGAUCAGUCAGUUUCCUCCGAGCAAAACCACCCAAGGACAAUCACUUUACAACAUGGGAUUCAAGACAGCAGGAAGAAUGGAGUAAAUAUUGCCUUGAAAUUAAGACAGCCGCACACGUAGAGUUUUAACAAGCAGGUGACACAAUUAGCUUGAUAAAAAGAAGACUCUGAGGUAGCUUCCGACGGAAAGUUAGAACGCUG
Neogale vison (American mink) is the source of this 676-nucleotide long non-coding RNA. The record is from Ensembl. Lineage: Eukaryota; Metazoa; Chordata; Mammalia; Carnivora; Mustelidae.